UUGCAUUUACGGCAGGAGAGGAAUUGAACCUCCGGGGGCAGAGGUUCGAUUCGAGCGGAGCGAGAAAACGUUGCGCCAGCAACGGCCCGCAGGGCGAGUCGCGAAGCGGCGAGUCAUCCUCUAUCACCGACCA
Molecule: regulatory RNA element, 133 nt
Organism: Pluralibacter gergoviae
Lineage: Bacteria; Pseudomonadati; Pseudomonadota; Gammaproteobacteria; Enterobacterales; Enterobacteriaceae
Rfam family: RtT RNA
About the family: This family represents a bacterial cis-regulatory element known as RtT RNA.
Source: Rfam